Molecule: ribosomal RNA, 431 nt
Filed under: uncultured bacterium
Lineage: Bacteria
Description: partial 16S ribosomal RNA
Rfam family: Bacterial small subunit ribosomal RNA
Source: RNAcentral
AGCGAACGCUGGCGGCAGGCUUAACACAUGCAAGUCGAGCGCCCCGCAAGGGGAGCGGCAGACGGGAGAGUAACACGUGGGAACAUACCUUUUGGUUCGGAACAACUGAGGGAAACUUCAGCUAAUACCGGAUAAGCCCUUACGGGGAAAGAUUUAUCGCCGAAAGAUUGGCCCGCGUCUGAUUAGCUAGUUGGUGAGGUAACGGCUCACCAAGGCGACGAUCAGUAGCUGGUCUGAGAGGAUGAUCAGCCCCACUGGGACUGAGACACGGCCCAGACUCCUACGGGAGGCAGCAGUGGGGAAUAUUGGACAAUGGGGGCAACCCUGAUCCAGCCAUGCCGCGUGAGUGAUGAAGGCCUUAGGGUUGUAAAGCUCUUUUGCCCGGGAAGAUAAUGACGGUACCGGGAGAAUAAGCCCCGGCUAACUUCGUG